CUACGUGUUGUUAUAAGGAAGCGUCGAGAAUAGAGAGAUGGGAAGGUGCAGGAAUGGAGAAAAGAGAUUGAAACCCUAAUCUGGGCAGGAAGAUGAUGAGGAUGCGGAACCUGGGAUCUGUGUGUGCGAAGCUUGGACGCAGUGGGACGAUGAUGAUGAACACGGAGGAAGAUUGAAUCAUUAUUAUUUUUUUUUAGCAGCGAAGGAGGAGAUGCGACAGCACUGGAGGAGAUUUCGAAGGGGGAUUGCGAGGCGCUCUCGGGACUGGAUGGAGAACUUUAGCCAGAUGCUC
Brassica napus (rape) is the source of this 292-nucleotide long non-coding RNA. RefSeq lists it as uncharacterized. The transcript is spliced from 3 exons. The record is from RefSeq and is a predicted model, not a curated record. Lineage: Eukaryota; Viridiplantae; Streptophyta; Magnoliopsida; Brassicales; Brassicaceae.